RNAcentral lists this transfer RNA (87 nucleotides) under Acetobacterium wieringae. RNAcentral's name for it is "tRNA-Ser". It matches the Rfam family "tRNA". Rfam says of the family: Transfer RNA (tRNA) molecules are approximately 80 nucleotides in length. Their secondary structure includes four short double-helical elements and three loops (D, anti-codon, and T loops). Lineage: Bacteria; Bacillati; Bacillota; Clostridia; Eubacteriales; Eubacteriaceae. The record is from RNAcentral.
GGAAAUUUGCCGGAACGGUAACGGGCUUGGUUGCUAACCAAAGGCAGGGUAACACCUAAUAGGGUUCGACUCCCUAAGUUUCCGCCA